AGAACGAACGCUGGCGGCAGGCCUAACACAUGCAAGUCGAACGCUCGUAGCAAUACGAGAGUGGCAGACGGGUGAGUAACACGUGGGAACCUUCCCUUCGGUCGGGAAUAGCUCAGGGAAACUUGAGGUAAUACCGGAUACGCCCUUACGGGGAAAGAUUUAUCGCCGUUGGAUGGGCCCGCGUCGGAUUAGCUAGUUGGUGAGGUAACGGCUCACCAAGGCGACGAUCCGUAGCUGGUCUGAGAGGAUGAUCAGCCACACUGGGACUGAGACACGGCCCAGACUCCUACGGGAGGCAGCAGUGGGGAAUAUUGGACAAUGGGCGCAAGCCUGAUCCAGCCAUGCCGCGUGAGUGACGAAGGCCUUAGGGUGUAAAGCUCUUUGGCGGGACGAGUAAUGACGGUACCCGCAGAAUAAGCUCCGGCUAACUUCGUGCCAGCAGCCGC
RNAcentral lists this ribosomal RNA (446 nucleotides) under uncultured bacterium. RNAcentral's name for it is "SSU rRNA". It matches the Rfam family "Bacterial small subunit ribosomal RNA", at positions 26 to 518 of the family's 1533-position model. The record is from RNAcentral.